UAAUACCGUAUACGCCCUUAGGGGGAAAGAUUUAUCGGAGAAGGAUCAGCCCGCGUUAGAUUAGGUAGUUGGUGGGGUAACGGCCUACCAAGCCUACGAUCUAUAGCUGGUUUUAGAGGAUGAUCAGCCACACUGGGACUGAGACACGGCCCAGACUCCUACGGGAGGCAGCAGUAGGGAAUCUUGGACAAUGGGGGAAACCCUGAUCCAGCCAUGCCGCGUGAGUGAAGAAGGCCUUAGGGUCGUAAAGCUCUUUCGCCUGUGAUGAUAAUGACAGUAGCAGGUAAAGAAACCCCGGCUAACUCCGUGCCAGCAGCCGCGGUAAUACGGAGGGGGUUAGCGUUGUUCGGAAUUACUGGGCGUAAAGCGCGCGUAGGCGGAUUGGAAAGUUGGGGGUGAAAUCCCGGGGCUCAACCCCGGAACUGCCUCCAAAACUGCCAGUCUAGAGUUCGAGAGAGGUGAGUGGAACU
Molecule: ribosomal RNA, 470 nt
Filed under: uncultured marine bacterium
Lineage: Bacteria
Description: bacterial SSU rRNA
Rfam family: Bacterial small subunit ribosomal RNA
Source: RNAcentral